Molecule: long non-coding RNA, 178 nt
Organism: Strigops habroptila (Kakapo)
Lineage: Eukaryota; Metazoa; Chordata; Aves; Psittaciformes; Psittacidae
Exons: 2
Source: RefSeq, a predicted model, not a curated record
AGGAGAACAUCAGAAAGAAAAUGUCGUGUUUACCUGGGCAACUUUGGCCUUAUACAAGAAGUCAGGUAUAUACCUGGAAACAGAAACCAGCCAUCAGACCCCUCAAUAAUUGUCUUUAAAACCUACAACAAGACAUUUGCACCUGCCAAAAGUUUGCACUCUGUCUCUAGGGCUCUUG